Molecule: ribosomal RNA, 858 nt
Filed under: Triticum aestivum (bread wheat)
Lineage: Eukaryota; Viridiplantae; Streptophyta; Magnoliopsida; Poales; Poaceae
Description: partial small subunit ribosomal RNA
Source: RNAcentral
AUGUCGGCAUCCCGGAUCCCACCACGGACGAUGUCGGCGUCGGCCUGCGCCCCGGAGACCGCGCAGGGCACGCACCUGUUCAAGAUCGACGGCUACAGCCUGUGCAGGGGCCUCGGCGUCGGCAAGUCCAUCCAGUCCGCCACCUUCCGCGUCGGCGGCCACGACUGGUGCGUCUACUUCUACCCCGACGGCCUCAGGGAGGACAGCAAGGACUACGUUUCAGUCUUCGUCGAGCUCAAGACCGAGAACGCAGAGGCGAGGGCGCUCUACCAUGUGAGGGUGGUCGACCAGGCCUGGCCGCCGCCGCCUUUCACGUGGCCGGUCCCCAGCCAGUACGAGGCGCUGGUGUUUAACUCCGCUGAUGACUACAACUGCUGCUCGGGCUACACCCAUUUCAUGAGGAGGACGGAGCUGCAGCCGUACGUUCUGGAGGACACCCUUAUCCUCGAGUGCAAUCUUGCCGUCAUCGAGCUGAAGGACGCGCAAGAGGCUGAUGUCAAGGUUAACUUUGAGGCCCAGGCGCCGCCGUCCGAAUUGGUUCAUAACCUUAGCAGCUUGCUGGAGGCUACGGAGGGAUCUGAUGUGUCUUUCACGGUCAAGGAGGAGAUUUUCCCGGCUCAUAAGGUCAUCCUCGCAAUGCGGUCGCCGGUCUUCCGGGUGAAGUUCUACGGCCCGAUGAGGGACGAGAGUAGCCGCAGCAUAACCGUUGAAGACAUGCAGCCCGCUGUUUUCAGAGGACUGCUUCACUUCAUCUACACUGAUUCGUUGCCUCCAUUGGAUUACCUGGAUGACGAUGAGUAUGAAGAAAUGGCUAGGCAUUUGCGGUGGCCGCAGAUAGGUACGCCAUGGAAAGGAUGA